Small nucleolar RNA from Corylus avellana, 108 nucleotides. Lineage: Eukaryota; Viridiplantae; Streptophyta; Magnoliopsida; Fagales; Betulaceae. The record is from RefSeq and is a predicted model, not a curated record.
AAAUUGUGAUGAGGGCAUCUGACAAGUAGCUCAUUAAAGUGCUCCCUUGCUUCGAAGAAAAGGUCUCUGUCUUUUUGUUGGGAAGUCAGAAUUUUCCUUCUUAAUUGC